Molecule: long non-coding RNA, 560 nt
Organism: Zea mays
Lineage: Eukaryota; Viridiplantae; Streptophyta; Magnoliopsida; Poales; Poaceae
Exons: 2
Source: RefSeq, a predicted model, not a curated record
AUAUCUCGCGCGCCUGGGAGCAUUGCCGGCUAGGUGCAGGGCUGUGCGCAUCGGAUGAAGAACUGGAGCCGCCAUUGUUGGAAAACGGAGCUUGACUGCGCCGUCGGUGGUCUCGCCUCCGGCCUUCCGCCCCUGUCGCGCGUCGACCGCUUCCUGGACAACCGCAUCAUGGGUUGCAUGUGCUCAUCGGAAGCGUCGUGGCUGGACAAACUGUCGCAAAUCGGACGGAUCGAGAUGAAUCUGAGUAUUUAGAAUCUGGGCGGUCGCAUCUGGAUCCUACGGCUGGAUUGACACUGGGUACCUGGCGUGAUCCGCAGUCGUCCAAUCCUAAUCCGAUGGAUGGGGUCACCCGAUACCCCUUCGCGGAUACAUUUUGUUAAAGAGCCCUGGAAAAUCUGUUAAUAAACCCGCCGUCCUUGCGGGAGUAGCCUGAGUCUGGUAGGGUUUUGCAAAUUUAAUCCUGGGCUCUCUGAUAUUAGUGUCCUCGGUCCAGAGUACUUUGGAUAUUCAGAAAUUAAUAAAGAAAUAGAUUUUUAGUAUAAAAAUAAGUCCAUAAACUU